UCAUAAAUGCUUAAAAUAUUUAAAGCGUCUGCCUGCAAUGCAGGAGACCUGGGUUCGAUCCCUGGGUUGGGAA
Molecule: transfer RNA, 73 nt
Filed under: Ovis aries (sheep)
Lineage: Eukaryota; Metazoa; Chordata; Mammalia; Artiodactyla; Bovidae
Rfam family: tRNA
About the family: Transfer RNA (tRNA) molecules are approximately 80 nucleotides in length. Their secondary structure includes four short double-helical elements and three loops (D, anti-codon, and T loops). Further hydrogen bonds mediate the characteristic L-shaped molecular structure. tRNAs have two regions of fundamental functional importance: the anti-codon, which is responsible for specific mRNA codon recognition, and the 3' end, to which the tRNAs corresponding amino acid is attached (by aminoacyl-tRNA synthetases). tRNAs cope with the degeneracy of the genetic code in two manners: having more than one tRNA (with a specific anti-codon) for a particular amino acid; and 'wobble' base-pairing, i.e. permitting non-standard base-pairing at the 3rd anti-codon position.
Source: Rfam by way of RNAcentral